Microtus oregoni (creeping vole) is the source of this 561-nucleotide long non-coding RNA. RefSeq lists it as uncharacterized. The record is from RefSeq and is a predicted model, not a curated record. The transcript is spliced from 3 exons. Lineage: Eukaryota; Metazoa; Chordata; Mammalia; Rodentia; Cricetidae.
AGCGGUCACCCGCACACAGCAGGUGCUACUGACCCUGCAUGCUGAGCAGACAAAGGCUCCAUUGCUCUCCUGGAAACCACGUUCUCCUGGCCGUGGGACUCCACUCUGGCUGGAAGGGCCAUCCUCCAGAUACCAAUUUGCAUGAGAGGGAUUGCAGACCACCAGAGUCCAGCAGAUGGCAGCAGUGCGCUUCUGGGGUCUCUGCAGAAGCCCUGCCUUUCCUGACUUAAUCUCAAAAUCUCAGGAAGCAGCCAUGGGCUGAGUGGGGCCUCAGAGCCACAGGCAAGCAGCAUUCAAGGUGACUUUUGUCACCUGGGGACUUUUUUGGCUUCUACAGCUGAGGAGAGACCUAACAGGCAUCUAUCUCAUAAGGAGACACGGGUGAAGCUGUUGAAAACCCUGGAAUGGAGAAAAAGACAUGGAAGUACGGAGGAGAGACCCAUUGAGAAUAGGUCUAUCCAGAGAGAGAAAGGAAAGAAGAGGGAAUGGGGUGUGAAAAAGACUGCAAUUCAUUAUGUAAAUCCAUGAAACCUGCAAACAAUUAAAAUAAAUAAAUAAAUA